GACGAACGCUGGCGGCGUGCUUAACACAUGCAAGUCGAACGGAAAGGCCCUGCUUUUGUGGGGUGCUCGAGUGGCGAACGGGUGAGUAACACGUGAGUAACCUGCCCUUGACUUUGGGAUAACUUCAGGAAACUGGGGCUAAUACCGGAUAGGAGCUCCUGCUGCAUGGUGGGGGUUGGAAAGUUUCGGCGGUUGGGGAUGGACUCGCGGCUUAUCAGCUUGUUGGUGGGGUAGUGGCUUACCAAGGCUUUGACGGGUAGCCGGCCUGAGAGGGUGACCGGCCACAUUGGGACUGAGAUACGGCCCAGACUCCUACGGGAGGCAGCAGUGGGGAAUAUUGCACAAUGGGCGGAAGCCUGAUGCAGCAACGCCGCGUGCGGGAUGACGGCCUUCGGGUUGUAAACCGCUUUCGCCUGUGACGAAGCGUGAGUGACGGUAAUGGGUAAAGAAGCACCGGCUAACUACGUGCCAGCAGCCGCGGUGAUACGUAGGGUGCGAGCGUUGUCCGGAUUUAUUGGGCGUAAAGGGCUCGUAGGUGGUUGAUCGCGUCGGAAGUGUAAUCUUGGGGCUUAACCCUGAGCGUGCUUUCGAUACGGGUUGACUUGAGGAGGGUAGGGGAGAAUGGAAUUCCUGGUGGAGCGGUGGAAUGCGCAGAUAUCAGGAGGAACACCAGUGGCGAAGGCGGUUCUCUGGGCCUUUCCUGACGCUGAGGAGCGAAAGCGUGGGGAGCGAACAGGCUUAGAUACCCUGGUAGUCCACGCUGUAAACGGUGGGUACUAGGUGUGGGGUCCAUUCCACGGGUUCCGUGCCGUAGCUAACGCUUUAAGUACCCCGCCUGGGGAGUACGGCCGCAAGGCUAAAACUCAAAGGAAUUGACGGGGCCCCGCACAAGCGGCGGAGCAUGCGGAUUAAUUCGAUGCAACGCGUAGAACCUUACCUGGGUUUGACAUGGAUCGGGAGUGCUCAGAGAUGGGUGUGCCUCUUUUGGGGUCGGUUCACAGGUGGUGCAUGGCUGUCGUCAGCUCGCGUCGUGAGAUGUUGGGUUAAGUCCCGCAACGAGCGCAACCCUUGUUCACUGUUGCCAGCACGUUAUGGUGGGGACUCAGUGGAGACCGCCGGGGUCAACUCGGAGGAAGGUGGGGAUGACGUCAAGUCAUCAUGCCCCUUAUGUCCAGGGCUUCACGCAUGCUACAAUGGCUGGUACAGAGAGUGGCGAGCCUGUGAGGGUGAGCGAAUCUCGGAAAGCCGGUCUCAGUUCGGAUUGGGGUCUGUAACUCGACCUCAUGAAGUCGGAGUCGCUAGUAAUCGCAGAUCAGCAACGCUGCGGUGAAUACGUUCCCGGG
Molecule: ribosomal RNA, 1343 nt
Filed under: uncultured bacterium
Lineage: Bacteria
Description: 16S ribosomal RNA
Rfam family: Bacterial small subunit ribosomal RNA
Source: RNAcentral